GGGCCCGCACAAGCAGCGGAGCAUGUGGUUUAAUUCGAAGCAACGCGAAGAACCUUACCAAGGCUUGACAUCCCUCGCAAUCCAUGGAAACAUGGAGUUCCCUUCGGGGACGAGGAGACAGGUGGUGCAUGGUUGUCGUCAGCUCGUGUCGUGAGAUGUUGGGUUAAGUCCCGCAACGAGCGCAACCCUUGUUCUCAGUUACCAGCAAGUAAAGUUGGGGACUCUGAGGAGACUGCCGGGGAUAACUCGGAGGAAGGUGGGGACGACGUCAAAUCAUCAUGCCCCUUAUGUCUUGGGCUACACACGUGCUACAAUGGUCGUAACAAAGGGAAGCGAACCCGAGAGGGGGAGCGGAACUCAAAAAAGCGAUCCCAGUUCGGAUUGUGGGCUGCAACCCGCCCACAUGAAGUCGGAGUUGCUAGUAAUCGCGAAUCAGCAUGUCGCGGUGAAUGCGUUCCCGGGCCUU
This 466-nucleotide ribosomal RNA is filed under the name uncultured bacterium. RNAcentral describes it as "bacterial SSU rRNA". It matches the Rfam family "Bacterial small subunit ribosomal RNA", at positions 917 to 1382 of the family's 1533-position model. The record is from RNAcentral.